Molecule: non-coding RNA, 72 nt
Organism: Hemicordylus capensis (graceful crag lizard)
Lineage: Eukaryota; Metazoa; Chordata; Lepidosauria; Squamata; Cordylidae
Source: the annotation of a RefSeq genome assembly
GGUGUUGUAGCUUAGUGGUGGAGCAUCUGCUUUGUGUGCAGAAGAUCCCAGGUUCAAUUCCUGGCAUCUCCA